RNAcentral lists this ribosomal RNA (254 nucleotides) under uncultured bacterium. Its description in RNAcentral is "partial 16S ribosomal RNA". It matches the Rfam family "Bacterial small subunit ribosomal RNA", at positions 524 to 776 of the family's 1533-position model. The record is from RNAcentral.
UACGUAGGUGGCAAGCGUUGUCCGGAAUUAUUGGGCGUAAAGCGCGCGCAGGCGGUCCUUUAAGUCUGAUGUGAAAGCCCACGGCUCAACCGUGGAGGGUCAUUGGAAACUGGGGGACUUGAGUACAGAAGAGAAGAGUGGAAUUCCACGUGUAGCGGUGAAAUGCGUAGAGAUGUGGAGGAACACCAGUGGCGAAGGCGACUCUUUGGUCUGUAACUGACGCCUGAGGCGCGAAAGCGUGGGGAGCAAACAGG